Molecule: RNA transcript, 2769 nt
Organism: Juglans microcarpa x Juglans regia
Lineage: Eukaryota; Viridiplantae; Streptophyta; Magnoliopsida; Fagales; Juglandaceae
Gene name: transcription termination factor 1-like
Exons: 3
Source: RefSeq, a predicted model, not a curated record
AGAGGAUCUUAACCCUAGGAUCACAACACCACCAUUGGAGCCGCCUUCAACUUUCUUCAGUUUGCUGUUAGUUCAUUGGGCAAGUCCAGGUAAAUCAAUUUCUUUCAACUUGUAUUCUUUCUCCCGUUUUAGUACGAUCUCUCUCUUCCGCUUCAUCUCCCACUUUAAUUGGGACGAGUGGGAUCGGCUUCAAUAUAGGGGUCAAGUCCUAAUUUCUUUUUCACAAUCCAGAGUAUUCCACCUGUUGAGAGAGGCGAUUUCAGGUUGCAAUUAAGAAGGCUGGAAUAUUAGGGAAUCGGGAUUUAAUUUUGUAUCCAAGUCCAAAGACUUGGCUGAGGAUGAAUGAAGAAGUAGUUAAGGGCACAGUUGCUCUGAGAUAGGAGAAAAUCAUGAAAGUAAAGACGGGAAAGACAGAGACAAAAAGGAGAAGAAGAAAAGCAAGACAGAAAUGGCGGGUGUUAAUGUUCUAGGGAAGAAUAGCUUGACUGAUGCAGAGGUUGGAAAUAAAAGGGAGAGCUCUAACGGAGAAGUGUUGGAAAAGGCUGAGCCUGUAAAGAAGAAGAGAAAGAAAGAGAAUAAAAAAAUUAAUAAUGAUAUGGGAGCUGGACUACCGGAGAUCGUAACUGACAAACCAAGUGACAAUAGAGAGGGAGUUGACAAAAAUCAAUCUAUUGGCAAUCAAGGCAAUGCUUAUUCAUAUAAGAAUGAGAUUGGAGAGAGAAACUUAGGCGCUGUUAGUGCAGAAGAUGACAAGGAUGUAAAGCAGAAAAAGAAGAAGAAGGUCCAAUCAGAUAAACAUGUUUCAGAAGGAAAUGAGAUUGGGGAGAAUAACCUUCAUGCUGUUAGUGCAGUAGUUGACAACAAGGACGCGAAGCAGAAAAAGAACAAGAAGGCCAAUCCAGGUAAACAUGUUUCAGAAGCAAAUUGUGAUAAAGGUGCCGAAGAUGACAAGGAUGCCAAGCAGAAAAAGAAGGAGAAGAAGAAGAAGAUGGUCAAAUCAGAUAAACAUCAUGAGAUUGGGGAGAGGAACCUACAUGCUGUUAGCACUAAAGAUGACAACAAGGAUGCCGAGCCGAAAAAGAAGAAGAAGAAGAAAGCGGAAUCAGGUAAACAUGUUUCAGAAGGAAAUUGUGGUAAAGAUGCAGCAAUAACCAAGAAAGAUUUUGGGACCACUUAUGAGAAUUCUACACCUGGACGAACGUCUAAGAGAGUGAGUUUCUCAGAUCGUGUGGAGGUUUUUACUUCAUCUGAUGGUCCAAUUGAUAGUAAUCAGGAUGACAACUUAAUACGUGGCAAAAGGUUUUCACGAGAAGAAGAUGAGAUGAUUAAAAAGGCCGUUCUAAACUAUAUUGAAGCAAAGGGCUUAGGUGAUGAAGGCCUAAACAUGGUUCUCCACUGCAAGUCUCAUCCUGAACAUAAAAAUUGUUGGAAGGAUAUAGCAGCAGCCUUACCUUGGAGGCCUUUCAAGAGUGUAUAUUAUCGAGCCCAUAUUUUGUUUGAAAGGAGUGAAGAGAGGAAAUGUACCAAUGAAGAGUAUGAACUUAUUCGAAGUUUCCAUGAAAAACAUGGAUCAGAAUGGAGAAAGUUGGCUGAUGUUCUUGGCAAACAUAGGAUUCAUGUAAAGGAUACAUGGCGAAGAAUAAGAUUGCCCAAUAUGAAGAAAGGUCGUUGGUCCCAAGAUGAGUAUCAAAAACUAUUUGAUUUAGUUAACAUGGAUUUGCGCAUGAAGUUCUUUGAAGAAAAGAAAUCCAAACACGGUAUGUUGCGAGAUAAUAUUGCUUGGGAAGCCAUUAGCAACAGUUUAUCCACCAGAAGCAACGUUUUGUGUUGCCAAAAAUGGUAUACCCAAUUAACGUCACCUAUGGUAGCUGAAGGUAUAUGGGCGGAUGCUGACGACUAUCGCCUAGUGGAUGCUCUUUAUGCCUUGGAUGCUUGCUGCAUUGAAGAUGUGGAUUGGGAUAAUCUGCUUGAGCAUAGGUCUGGGGAUGUAUGUUGGAGGCGUUGGGAUCAGAUGCUCAAACAUAUUGGUGAGCAUGCCAGCAAGUCAUUUACCGAACAAGUUAAAGUCCUCUCCAAACGGUAUUGCACAAACGUACUUGAAGCAAGAGAGACCUAUGAUAGCAAGUCUGCAGUUUUGUGAGGGCAAUGUCCUUAUUAGCUGCUCGUCCGUCGAUUGAACUAUACCUUUGAGUAUCUUUGCAGAAUGCACAAAACUGUCUAUCGAGGAUAUGGAGCAUCUUCUUAUGAAGAGCCACUCUGUUCAUCUGAUUGAGAGUAUAAUUGAUCAAGUUGAGGGAACAGUGCAUGUAUUCUGGGUGCAGCCAAGAGUUUUGACCGUCUGAACAUUUGGUUGGAAAAGGUGCAAACAGCUUUGAUGUCCAUGGGGGCAGAAACACCUGAUCUUGUUGCAUCCUGAUUUUGUUAUUUGAUAUGAUUAUGCCCAUUGUAACAAUUCCUUGACAAAAAAGGGGGAAAUUGCAUGGCCAAUCGAGGAAAAAAAAAAAAAAAAAAACUGUUAAAUCGCUUGGUCGGUAGGCCCAGUUGUAUGCUUCCUUUCUUUUGCCUGAAUCACUUUCCUGGAAGGAGCAGCCCCCUAUACUUCCAGUUGGGAAUCAUCAGUUCUGUGGUGGCAUGACAUGCUUAGAGACAUGGUGCAUCAAAUGAAAAACCAAAAAAAAGAAAGAGGGGCUGUUUGUACACAUUACAGUGGCAACUGAGACUUUGUAUUUGGAAUUUUUCAUGGAUACAAUUGGGAUGUGAUCGUCUUAA